GACGAACGCUGGCGGCGUGCCUAAUACAUGCAAGUCGAGCGAUGAAGAUUGGUGCUUGCACCAAUUUGAAGAGCAGCGAACGGGUGAGUAACGCGUGGGGAAUCUGCCUUUGAGCGGGGGACAACAUUUGGAAACGAAUGCUAAUACCGCAUAACAACUUUAAACAUAAGUUUUAAGUUUGAAAGAUGCAAUUGCAUCACUCAAAGAUGAUCCCGCGUUGUAUUAGCUAGUUGGUGAGGAAAAGGCUCACCAAGGCGAUGAUACAUAGCCGACCUGAGAGGGUGGUCGGCCACAUUGGGACUGGGACACGGCCCAAACUCCUACGGGAGGCAGCAGUAGGGGAUCUUCGGCAAUGGACGAAAGUCUGACCGAGCAACGCCGCGUGAGUGAAGAAGGUUUUCGGAUCGUAAAACUCUGUUGGUAGAGAAGAACGUUGGUGAGAGUGGAAAGCUCAUCAAGUGACGGUAACUACCCAGAAAGGGACGGCUAACUACGUG
RNAcentral lists this ribosomal RNA (497 nucleotides) under uncultured bacterium. RNAcentral describes it as "partial 16S ribosomal RNA". It matches the Rfam family "Bacterial small subunit ribosomal RNA", at positions 28 to 507 of the family's 1533-position model. The record is from RNAcentral.